UGUGCUGAGGAGAGCCUUCAGGCGAGAAAGGGUCUUCAGGGACCGGUUGGACCCACUGGCCUUCCCUGAUGACCAUCUAUAUGAAAGAUACAGAUUUUCUGCAGAUGGCAUCAGGUAUCUAUGCAGACUACUGGGUCCCAGGAUUAAGCACCGCACUGCACGGAGCCAUGCACUGAGUGUGGAGCAAAUGGUUUGUGUGGCCUUGCGCUUUUUUGCUAGUGGAGCCUUCCUGUACUCAGUGGGGGAUGCAGAACAGCUGAACAAGGCCACAAUUUGCCGCACAAUAAGGAGUGUGUGUCUGGCUAUCAAAGCAUUAGCAGAUGUCUUCAUCUCCUUCCCUGGCCACAGAAGACUCUGUGACAUCAAAUAGGAGUUCUAUAGGAUUGCAGAUGGUCUGCAAUGCUGACUGUGUGAUCAGCAAUGUUGUGGCAAAAUGGCCUGGCUCAGUCCAUGACUCCAGAAUCUUUAGGGCCUCUGAAAUCUAUCAGUGCCUAUCACAAGGUGAAUUCUCUGGUGUGUUGCUGGGAGACAGGGGGUAUGGCUGCCAGCCUUUUCUCCUGACACCUUUCACAGACCCCCAGGAAGCACAACAGGCUACAACCAUGCCCAU
This is a long non-coding RNA of Oncorhynchus nerka (sockeye salmon), 610 nucleotides long. RefSeq lists it as uncharacterized. The transcript is spliced from 3 exons. Lineage: Eukaryota; Metazoa; Chordata; Actinopteri; Salmoniformes; Salmonidae. The record is from RefSeq and is a predicted model, not a curated record.